UUAAAUUGAAGAGUUUGAUCAUGGCUCAGAUUGAACGCUGGCGGCAGGCCUAACACAUGCAAGUCGAACGGUAACAGGAAGAAGCUUGCUUCUUUGCUGACGAGUGGCGGACGGGUGAGUAAUGUCUGGGAAACUGCCUGAUGGAGGGGGAUAACUACUGGAAACGGUAGCUAAUACCGCAUAACGUCGCAAGACCAAAGAGGGGCACCUUCGGGCCUCUUGCCAUCGGAUGUGCCCAGAUGGGAUUAGCUAGUAGGUGGGGUAACGGCUCACCUAGGCGACGAUCCCUAGCUGGUCUGAGAGGAUGACCAGCCACACUGGAACUGAGACACGGUCCAGACUCCUACGGGAGGCAGCAGUGGGGAAUAUUGCACAAUGGGCGCAAGCCUGAUGCAGCCAUGCCGCGUGUAUGAAGAAGGCCUUCGGGUUGUAAAGUACUUUCAGCGGGGAGGAAGGGAGUAAAGUUAAUACCUUUGCUCAUUGACGUUACCCGCAGAAGAAGCACCGGCUAACUCCGUGCCAGCAGCCGCGGUAAUACGGAGGGUGCAAGCGUUAAUCGGAAUUACUGGGCGUAAAGCGCACGCAGGCGGUUUGUUAAGUCAGAUGUGAAAUCCCCGGGCUCAACCUGGGAACUGCAUCUGAUACUGGCAAGCUUGAGUCUCGUAGAGGGGGGUAGAAUUCCAGGUGUAGCGGUGAAAUGCGUAGAGAUCUGGAGGAAUACCGGUGGCGAAGGCGGCCCCCUGGACGAAGACUGACGCUCAGGUGCGAAAGCGUGGGGAGCAAACAGGAUUAGAUACCCUGGUAGUCCACGCCGUAAACGAUGUCGACUUGGAGGUUGUGCCCUUGAGGCGUGGCUUCCGGAGCUAACGCGUUAAGUCGACCGCCUGGGGAGUACGGCCGCAAGGUUAAAACUCAAAUGAAUUGACGGGGGCCCGCACAAGCGGUGGAGCAUGUGGUUUAAUUCGAUGCAACGCGAAGAACCUUACCUGGUCUUGACAUCCACGGAAGUUUUCAGAGAUGAGAAUGUGCCUUCGGGAACCGUGAGACAGGUGCUGCAUGGCUGUCGUCAGCUCGUGUUGUGAAAUGUUGGGUUAAGUCCCGCAACGAGCGCAACCCUUAUCCUUUGUUGCCAGCGGUCCGGCCGGGAACUCAAAGGAGACUGCCAGUGAUAAACUGGAGGAAGGUGGGGAUGACGUCAAGUCAUCAUGGCCCUUACGACCAGGGCUACACACGUGCUACAAUGGCGCAUACAAAGAGAAGCGACCUCGCGAGAGCAAGCGGACCUCAUAAAGUGCGUCGUAGUCCGGAUUGGAGUCUGCAACUCGACUCCAUGAAGUCGGAAUCGCUAGUAAUCGUGGAUCAGAAUGCCACGGUGAAUACGUUCCCGGGCCUUGUACACACCGCCCGUCACACCAUGGGAGUGGGUUGCAAAAGAAGUAGGUAGCUUAACCUUCGGGAGGGCGCUUACCACUUUGUGAUUCAUGACUGGGGUGAAGUCGUAACAAGGUAACCGUAGGGGAACCUGCGGUUGGAUCACCUCCUUACCUUAAAGAAGC
RNAcentral lists this ribosomal RNA (1556 nucleotides) under Escherichia coli. Its description in RNAcentral is "bacterial SSU rRNA". It matches the Rfam family "Bacterial small subunit ribosomal RNA". Lineage: Bacteria; Pseudomonadati; Pseudomonadota; Gammaproteobacteria; Enterobacterales; Enterobacteriaceae. The record is from RNAcentral.